UCAAGUGUCGUAAGGGCGUUCGGUGGAUGCCUUGGCACUGAGAGGCGAUGAAAGACGUGGUACGCUGCGAUAAGCCUUGGGGAGCUGCGAACAAGCUUUGAUCCGAGGAUUUCUGAAUGGGGAAACCCACCUCCGACAAUUAGAACUCAGAGCCCGCGCGGCAAUGCGCGGUCUUCGGCUUCUAAUUGUCAUAGCGAGGUACAAGGCCCUGAAUAAAAUAGGGGUUUUGAGCAAACCCGGGGAACUGAAACAUCUAAGUACCCGGAGGAAAGGACAUCAACAGAGACUCCGUUAGUAGUGGCGAGCGAACGCGGACCAGGCCAGUGGCAUACGAGAAACAAGCCGAACCGGUUGGAAAGCCGGGCCUCAGUGGGKGAUAGCCCCGUAGGCGUAAAAUAUCGUAUGUCCUCGAGUAGGGCGGGGCACGUGAAACCCUGUCUGAACGUGGGGGGACCACCCUCCAAGCCUAAGUACUCCUCAGUGACCGAUAGCGAACAAGUACCGUGAGGGAAAGGUGAAAAGCACCCCGACAAGGGGAGUGAAAUAGUUCCUGAAACCGGACGCUUACAAACAGGCGAGGCCCGCAAGGGUGACGCCGUACCUUUUGUAUUAUGGGCCAGCGACUUAGCGUGACGAGCAAGCUUAAGCCGAUAGGCGAAGGCGCAGCGAAAGCGAGUCUGAAUAGGGCAUUCAGUUCGUCGCGUUAGACCCGAAACCUAGUGAUCUAGCCAUGUGCAGGCUGAAGAUGGGGUAACACCCAUUGGAGGGCCGAACCGGUGUCUGUUGAAAAAGACUCGGAUGACGUGUGGUUAGGGGUGAAAGGCCAAUCAAACUAGGAGAUAGCUGGUUCUCCGCGAAAACUAUUUAGGUAGUGCCUCGAGCGAAUACCCUGGGGGGUAGAGCACUGGAUGGGCUAGGGGGUCCUACAGACCUACCAAACCUAACCAAACUCCGAAUACCCAGGAGUAAUACUCGGGAGACAGACGGCGGGUGCUAACGUCCGUCGUCGAGAGGGAAACAACCCGGACCUACAGCUAAGGCCCCUAAUUCGUGGCUAAGUGGGAAAGGAUGUGAGGAUCCCAAAACAACCAGGAGGUUGGCUUAGAAGCAGCCAUCCUUUAAAGAAAGCGUAACAGCUCACUGGUCUAAAUAAGGGUCUUUGCGCCGAAGAUGUAACGGGGCUCAAGCCACGAGCCGAAGCUUAGGGCGCAGCAAUGCGCGGUAGCGGAGCGUUCCAUAAGCCUGUGAAGGGCGACCCGUGAGGGCGCCUGGAGGUAUUGGAAGUGAGAAUGCUGGCAUAAGUAACGACAAACAGUGUGAGAGACACUGUCGCCGUAAGUCCAAGGGUUCCUGCGUAAAGUUAAUCUGCGCAGGGUUAGCCGGUCCCUAAGGCGAGGCCGAGAGGCGUAGUCGAUGGGAACCACGUUAAUAUUCGUGGGCCAGAGGGUAGUGACGGAUGCUUAGUGUUGUACGGGGUUAUUGGAUUCCCUGUGCAGCUGCGGUGUCCCAGGAAAUAGCUCCCUCAUUAGACCGUACCCGAAACCGACACAGGUGGACUGGUAGAGUAUACCAAGGCGCUUGAGAGAACUAUGCUGAAGGAACUCGGCAAAUUACCUCCGUAACUUCGGGAUAAGGAGGCCCAUGUGCUGCGCAAGCAGUAUGUGGGGGCACAGACCAGGGGGUGGCGACUGUUUACCUAAAACACAGGGCUCUGCGAAGUCUAAAGACGACGUAUAGGGUCUGACGCCUGCCCGGUGCCGGAAGGUUAAGAGGAGGGGUGCAAGCUCUGAAUCGAAGCCCCGGUAAACGGCGGCCGUAACUAUAACGGUCCUAAGGUAGCGAAAUUCCUUGUCGGGUAAGUUCCGACCUGCACGAAUGGCGU
RNAcentral lists this ribosomal RNA (1882 nucleotides) under symbiont metagenome. Its description in RNAcentral is "bacterial LSU rRNA". The record is from RNAcentral.